This 434-nucleotide ribosomal RNA is filed under the name Brevundimonas diminuta. RNAcentral's name for it is "bacterial SSU rRNA". It matches the Rfam family "Bacterial small subunit ribosomal RNA", at positions 44 to 523 of the family's 1533-position model. The record is from RNAcentral. Lineage: Bacteria; Pseudomonadati; Pseudomonadota; Alphaproteobacteria; Caulobacterales; Caulobacteraceae.
UGGCCUAACACAUGCAAGUCGAACGAACUCUUCGGAGUUAGUGGCGGACGGGUGAGUAACACGUGGGAACGUGCCUUUUGGUUCGGAAUAACUCAGGGAAACUUGUGCUAAUACCGAAUGUGCCCUUCGGGGGAAAGAUUUAUCGCCAUUAGAGCGGCCCGCGUCUGAUUAGCUAGUUGGUGAGGUAACGGCUCACCAAGGCGACGAUCAGUAGCUGGUCUGAGAGGAUGAUCAGCCACACUGGGACUGAGACACGGCCCAGACUCCUACGGGAGGCAGCAGUGGGGAAUCUUGCGCAAUGGGCGAAAGCCUGACGCAGCCAUGCCGCGUGAAUGAUGAAGGUCUUAGGAUUGUAAAAUUCUUUCACCGGGGACGAUAAUGACGGUACCCGGAGAAGAAGCCCCGGCUAACUUCGUGCCAGCAGCCCGGGGUAA